GACGCAGUAGUACAGCGGUAGUACGCUACUGGCAGACAUCCCGGCGCGUCGAAGUGUCUGCCUGUGGAGGUCGGAGGUUCUAAUCCUCCCUGCGUCG
Molecule: transfer RNA, 97 nt
Filed under: Caudoviricetes sp.
Lineage: Duplodnaviria; Heunggongvirae; Uroviricota; Caudoviricetes
Description: tRNA-OTHER
Rfam family: tRNA
About the family: Transfer RNA (tRNA) molecules are approximately 80 nucleotides in length.
Source: RNAcentral